This is a long non-coding RNA of Hippocampus comes (tiger tail seahorse), 341 nucleotides long. RefSeq lists it as uncharacterized. Lineage: Eukaryota; Metazoa; Chordata; Actinopteri; Syngnathiformes; Syngnathidae. The record is from RefSeq and is a predicted model, not a curated record. The transcript has 3 exons.
CCCCUGCAGCUGUUGACAUUCGCAAACCCUUUCAGUUGAUAUUAAAUGUUCCCGGAACAAGAGCCGCGACUUACGGAGUGACCUGACUUCCUGCAGUUGGGAGCGUCAUGUGUGGCGCAAAGGGGAAGGCUGCCAUCGCGGCGUCGGAGAUGGAGAAAAUAUCGGUUCUCAGCGCAAGGACUAAUGCGGCCUCUGUUUCUUUGGGACUUGGAUCUAUUGCCAACCGUGAGGAGGAGAGGAGAGGACGGGCUGCCUUUUGAACGUUCCACACCGUCGUUUUAAGAAAUUGGGGUUGUAAAAUCGCAAAAAAAUAUUUGUUAAAGUGUACAAAAUAUGAGAAU